CAGGAAGUAGUUUAAUUAGAAUAUUAGCUUUGGGAGUUAAAGGUAGGGUUUGRUGCCUUCUUCUUGA
This 67-nucleotide transfer RNA is filed under the name Thylacinus cynocephalus (Tasmanian wolf). RNAcentral's name for it is "tRNA-Pro". Lineage: Eukaryota; Metazoa; Chordata; Mammalia; Dasyuromorphia; Thylacinidae. The record is from RNAcentral.